CUCUUUUUGANNNUAAUNUAAAGUUGGGCCUGCCCACUGAUAAUUUAAAGGGCCGCAGUAUUUUGACUGUGCAAAGGUAGCAUAAUCAUUAGUUUUUUAAUUGAAAGCUUGUAUGAAUGGUUUGAUGAGAAAAUUACUGUUUCAAUUUAAAUUUUAAUAAUUUUAUUUUUAAGUUAAAAAGCUUAAAUAAUAUUUAAAGACGAGAAGACCCUAUAGAGUUUUACUAAUAUUAAAAUUUUUAUAUGAGGGAUUUGUUUAUAAAAAUUUUGAUAAAGUUUAGUUGGGGUGACAAAAAAAUUUGAUUAACUUUUUUUUUAUUUAUACAUUAGUUAGUGGUAUUUUGGUCCAUAAAAAUGAUUAUAAGAUUAAAUUACCUUAGGGAUAACAGCGUGAUUUUCUUUGAUAGUACCUAUUGAAAAGAGAGAUUGCGACCUCGAUGUUGGAUUAAAAUAAAUUUUUGGCGGAGAAGCUAGGAAAUUAGGUCUGUUCGACCUUUAAAAUUUUACAUGAUCUGAGUUUAAACCGGUGUGAGCCAGGUUGGUUUCUAUCUUAAAUUUAGUUAAUAUUUUAGUACGAAAGGAUCAAUUAUUAUAUUAAAAAUAAAUUUGUAAGAAUUUUAUUUUGGCAGAUUAGUGCGAUGGAUUUAGAAUCUUUAGAUGUGUAUUAUACAAAUAAAAAUUGACUUUAUUUUAGUUUUAUUAAAUUUUUUGAUUAUAGUNNUNNGNNUNUUNGU
This 733-nucleotide ribosomal RNA is filed under the name Epilachna mutabilis. RNAcentral describes it as "partial 16S ribosomal RNA". The stretch from base 192 to 555 matches the Rfam family "Bacterial large subunit ribosomal RNA", at positions 2072 to 2648 of the family's 2925-position model. Lineage: Eukaryota; Metazoa; Arthropoda; Insecta; Coleoptera; Coccinellidae. The record is from RNAcentral.